AUCAGCAGCCAUAUCACCCUGCAACUCACAACUGGCAGCCCCAAUGAAGCUAAGCAGGUGUGAGCCUGGCCAGUAGCUGGAUGGGAGACCUCCUGGGAAAAACUUAGGUUGCUGCUGGAA
Molecule: ribosomal RNA, 120 nt
Filed under: Lepisosteus oculatus (spotted gar)
Lineage: Eukaryota; Metazoa; Chordata; Actinopteri; Semionotiformes; Lepisosteidae
Source: RNAcentral